GAUUUCAUCGUCAAAUGGUUAAGACACAAUAUUUUCAUUAUUGUAAUCUUGGUUCAAUCCCAAGUGAAAUCU
RNAcentral lists this transfer RNA (72 nucleotides) under Schizosaccharomyces japonicus. RNAcentral's name for it is "tRNA-Glu". It matches the Rfam family "tRNA". From Rfam's summary of the family: Transfer RNA (tRNA) molecules are approximately 80 nucleotides in length. Lineage: Eukaryota; Fungi; Ascomycota; Schizosaccharomycetes; Schizosaccharomycetales; Schizosaccharomycetaceae. The record is from RNAcentral.